This 464-nucleotide ribosomal RNA is filed under the name uncultured bacterium. Its description in RNAcentral is "bacterial SSU rRNA". It matches the Rfam family "Bacterial small subunit ribosomal RNA", at positions 330 to 792 of the family's 1533-position model. The record is from RNAcentral.
GCCAGACUCCUACGGGAGGCAGCAGUGAGGAAUAUUGGUCAAUGGUCGGGAGACUGAACCAGCCAAGCCGCGUGAGGGAGGAAGGUACAGAGUAUCGUAAACCUCUUUUGUCAGGGAACAAAGACUGGGACGCGUCCCCGGAUGAGUGUACCUGAAGAAAAAGCAUCGGCUAACUCCGUGCCAGCAGCCGCGGUAAUACGGAGGAUGCGAGCGUUAUCCGGAUUUAUUGGGUUUAAAGGGUGCGUAGGCGGACGCUUAAGUCAGCGGUAAAAUGGCGGGGCUCAACCUCGUCGAGCCGUUGAAACUGGCGUUCUUGAGUGGGCGAGAAGUAUGCGGAAUGCGUGGUGUAGCGGUGAAAUGCAUAGAUAUCACGCAGAACUCCGAUUGCGAAGGCAGCAUACCGGCGCCCUACUGACGCUGAGGCACGAAAGCGUGGGUAUCGAACAGGAUUAGAUACCCCGGUA